This 20-nucleotide non-coding RNA is filed under the name Arabidopsis thaliana (thale cress). Lineage: Eukaryota; Viridiplantae; Streptophyta; Magnoliopsida; Brassicales; Brassicaceae. The record is from RNAcentral.
UGCUCUUGGGAUGAUAACGU